This 2802-nucleotide ribosomal RNA is filed under the name Klebsiella pneumoniae. RNAcentral's name for it is "bacterial LSU rRNA". It matches the Rfam family "Bacterial large subunit ribosomal RNA". The record is from RNAcentral. Lineage: Bacteria; Pseudomonadati; Pseudomonadota; Gammaproteobacteria; Enterobacterales; Enterobacteriaceae.
ACAGCCGGCGAUGUCCGAAUGGGGAAACCCAGUGCAAUUCGUUGCACUAUCGUUAACUGAAUACAUAGGUUAACGAGGCGAACCGGGGGAACUGAAACAUCUAAGUACCCCGAGGAAAAGAAAUCAACCGAGAUUCCCCCAGUAGCGGCGAGCGAACGGGGAGCAGCCCAGAGUCUGAAUCAGCUUGUGUGUUAGUGGAACGGUCUGGAAAGUCCGACGGUACAGGGUGAUAGUCCCGUACACCAAAAUGCACAGGUUGUGAACUCGAAGAGUAGGGCGGGACACGUGGUAUCCUGUCUGAAUAUGGGGGGACCAUCCUCCAAGGCUAAAUACUCCUGACUGACCGAUAGUGAACCAGUACCGUGAGGGAAAGGCGAAAAGAACCCCGGCGAGGGGAGUGAAAAAGAACCUGAAACCGUGUACGUACAAGCAGUGGGAGCACCUUCGGGUGUGACUGCGUACCUUUUGUAUAAUGGGUCAGCGACUUAUAUUCUGUAGCAAGGUUAACCGUAUAGGGGAGCCGCAGGGAAACCGAGUCUUAACUGGGCGUUAAGUUGCAGGGUAUAGACCCGAAACCCGGUGAUCUAGCCAUGGGCAGGUUGAAGGUUGGGUAACACUAACUGGAGGACCGAACCGACUAAUGUUGAAAAAUUAGCGGAUGACUUGUGGCUGGGGGUGAAAGGCCAAUCAAACCGGGAGAUAGCUGGUUCUCCCCGAAAGCUAUUUAGGUAGCGCCUCGUGAACUCAUCUUCGGGGGUAGAGCACUGUUUCGGCUAGGGGGUCAUCCCGACUUACCAACCCGAUGCAAACUACGAAUACCGAAGAAUGUUAUCACGGGAGACACACGGCGGGUGCUAACGUCCGUCGUGAAGAGGGAAACAACCCAGACCGCCAGCUAAGGUCCCAAAGUCAUGGUUAAGUGGGAAACGAUGUGGGAAGGCACAGACAGCCAGGAUGUUGGCUUAGAAGCAGCCAUCAUUUAAAGAAAGCGUAAUAGCUCACUGGUCGAGUCGGCCUGCGCGGAAGAUGUAACGGGGCUAAACCAUGCACCGAAGCUGCGGCAGCGACACUAUGUGUUGUUGGGUAGGGGAGCGUUCUGUAAGCCUGCGAAGGUGUGCUGUGAGGCAUGCUGGAGGUAUCAGAAGUGCGAAUGCUGACAUAAGUAACGAUAAAGCGGGUGAAAAGCCCGCUCGCCGGAAGACCAAGGGUUCCUGUCCAACGUUAAUCGGGGCAGGGUGAGUCGACCCCUAAGGCGAGGCCGAAAGGCGUAGUCGAUGGGAAACAGGUUAAUAUUCCUGUACUUGGUGUUACUGCGAAGGGGGGACGGAGAAGGCUAUGUUAGCCGGGCGACGGUUGUCCCGGUUUAAGCAUGUAGGCUGGUUAUCCAGGCAAAUCCGGAUAAUCAAGGCUGAGGUGUGAUGACGAGGCACUACGGUGCUGAAGUAACAAAUGCCCUGCUUCCAGGAAAAGCCUCUAAGCAUCAGGUAACAUCAAAUCGUACCCCAAACCGACACAGGUGGUCAGGUAGAGAAUACCAAGGCGCUUGAGAGAACUCGGGUGAAGGAACUAGGCAAAAUGGUGCCGUAACUUCGGGAGAAGGCACGCUGGUGUGUAGGUGAAGUCCCUGCGGAUGGAGCUGAGACCAGUCGAAGAUACCAGCUGGCUGCAACUGUUUAUUAAAAACACAGCACUGUGCAAACACGAAAGUGGACGUAUACGGUGUGACGCCUGCCCGGUGCCGGAAGGUUAAUUGAUGGGGUUAUCCGUAAGGAGAAGCUCUUGAUCGAAGCCCCGGUAAACGGCGGCCGUAACUAUAACGGUCCUAAGGUAGCGAAAUUCCUUGUCGGGUAAGUUCCGACCUGCACGAAUGGCGUAAUGAUGGCCAGGCUGUCUCCACCCGAGACUCAGUGAAAUUGAACUCGCUGUGAAGAUGCAGUGUACCCGCGGCAAGACGGAAAGACCCCGUGAACCUUUACUAUAGCUUGACACUGAACAUUGAGCCUUGAUGUGUAGGAUAGGUGGGAGGCUUUGAAGCGUGGACGCCAGUCUGCGUGGAGCCAACCUUGAAAUACCACCCUUUAAUGUUUGAUGUUCUAACGUUGGCCCCUGACCGGGGUUGCGGACAGUGUCUGGUGGGUAGUUUGACUGGGGCGGUCUCCUCCCAAAGCGUAACGGAGGAGCACGAAGGUUAGCUAAUCCUGGUCGGACAUCAGGAGGUUAGUGCAAUGGCAUAAGCUAGCUUGACUGCGAGCGUGACGGCGCGAGCAGGUGCGAAAGCAGGUCAUAGUGAUCCGGUGGUUCUGAAUGGAAGGGCCAUCGCUCAACGGAUAAAAGGUACUCCGGGGAUAACAGGCUGAUACCGCCCAAGAGUUCAUAUCGACGGCGGUGUUUGGCACCUCGAUGUCGGCUCAUCACAUCCUGGGGCUGAAGUAGGUCCCAAGGGUAUGGCUGUUCGCCAUUUAAAGUGGUACGCGAGCUGGGUUUAGAACGUCGUGAGACAGUUCGGUCCCUAUCUGCCGUGGGCGCUGGAGAAUUGAGGGGGGCUGCUCCUAGUACGAGAGGACCGGAGUGGACGCAUCACUGGUGUUCGGGUUGUCAUGCCAAUGGCACUGCCCGGUAGCUAAAUGCGGAAGAGAUAAGUGCUGAAAGCAUCUAAGCACGAAACUUGCCCCGAGAUGAGUUCUCCCUGAGACUUUAAGUCUCCUGAAGGAACGUUGAAGACGACGACGUUGAUAGGCCGGGUGUGUAAGCGCAGCGAUGCGUUGAGCUAACCGGUACUAAUGAACCGUGAGGCUUAACCUU